UACGAAGGGGGCUAGCGUUGCUCGGAAUCACUGGGCGUAAAGGGCGCGUAGGCGGCCGGCCAAGUCGGGGGUGAAAGCCUGUGGCUCAACCACAGAAUGGCCCUCGAUACUGGCUGGCUCGAGACCGGAAGAGGUUGGUGGAAUUGCGGGUGUAGCGGUGGAAUGCGUAGAGAUCCGGAAGAGCACCGGUGGCGAAGGCGGCCUGCUGGGCAGUGGCUGACGCUGAGGCGCGACAGCGUGGGGAGCAAACAGG
This 253-nucleotide ribosomal RNA is filed under the name uncultured bacterium. Its description in RNAcentral is "partial 16S ribosomal RNA". It matches the Rfam family "Bacterial small subunit ribosomal RNA", at positions 524 to 776 of the family's 1533-position model. The record is from RNAcentral.